Molecule: non-coding RNA, 345 nt
Organism: Calidris pugnax (ruff)
Lineage: Eukaryota; Metazoa; Chordata; Aves; Charadriiformes; Scolopacidae
Source: the annotation of a RefSeq genome assembly
AGAGCCGUGUCCUGCUGGGACUCCAGCUUCACCUUCAGCAGCUUCUCCAUGAGCUGGGUGCGACAGGCGCCUGGGAAGGGGCUCGAAUACGUCGCACAAAUUAGCAACGAUGGUAGUAGGACCUACUACGCGCCGUCGGUGAAGGGUCGCUUCACCAUCUCCAGGGACAACUCCCAGAGCACGGUCACGCUGCAGAUGAACAGCCUCAAGGAGGACGACACGGCCACCUACUACUGCGCCAAAGCUGCUGGUGAUGGUUAUUGUGGUGCUUAUGCUGCUGGUGGCCCCGACCACAUCACCGUGUCCCCACAUCCCACCAUCUCCCCCAAUCCCUUCCCACACUGA